CAGGAAGUAGUUUAUUUAAAAUAUUAAUUUUGGAGAUUAAUGACGGGGUAUAAUUCCUUUCCUGA
This 65-nucleotide transfer RNA is filed under the name Pachybrachis sp. ReAss_150. RNAcentral describes it as "tRNA-Pro". The record is from RNAcentral. Lineage: Eukaryota; Metazoa; Arthropoda; Insecta; Coleoptera; Chrysomelidae.